GCGGAGAGUGCGCGGCGGAGAGGAGCGGGGAGUGAGAGAGGGCGGGGAGGCGGCGCCGCUUUUAUAUGGAGACUAGGCAGGGAGCCGGGAGGAGGAGGAAGAGGAGGAGGAAAGGACCACCCGGCACAUCCUCACGCGGUGGCUGCCUCCGCUCUUCCAGCCGUUGGCCCGGGGCUGAUGUCAUCUGCAGCAAAUCAUCUCGCCCGCGGCCCGGAAGCUGGAGGGACGAGGUGUGCGGACAAUGGUCGGGGCAGGGCCGCGAGCCAAGGGGCUGGGGCGCCCGCUGAGCUCCUGCUGCAGCCGUGAAGGGGGAAGACGCUCUCAACCUACACCACCCACCACGUACACACCCACUGCCCACUCCUCACCCUCACCCUGUCUGUGCAUGGGAAUGGGAUGAGUUUCCAUUUUCGGAGUGGGGGUCUUUUCUCUUGUUGGAGUUGCACUAGUCAGGCCUCUGCCUUGUGUGCUGUGUAUGAUGUAGCCAGGUUCUCAGGAACUGGGAUAGCCACAGUGGGCAGAUGCGGGGCUGUGGGUACCCCGCCUAGGAAGACGGAACCUGUCUUUUCUUUGACCUUGUGGCUUUAAGAAGACGAAUUUACUGAUAUUUACCAAUAUCAAUAUUUACCACCUUCACUUAAAGAAUACAUCAAAAAUGCAAAACUUAAGCCUACUAUUGUUCAGGCCUUGGAUUCUACUCUGGCAGGGCCAAGGAUGAAAAAGUACUGGCUUUGUGGUGCUCAUGGGAAAUGAGAGAAAUGCAGAUGUAUUAUAUUAGAUACCAAUUUCUUUCCUUAAUGUGCUGAACAGAUAGUAUCAGUAAUAACAAAGAAUAAAGAGAAGAUACUGUCUCUACUCAGCAGGGUUACAGUGACUAUAAUGUACUUUUCAGUUCCUUGGGGAACACACAAGCAAAAUUACCUCGUGACAAUGAUGUCUUUUAAAAUACCUGUAGCAUUGGGAAUUUUUAUUGCCUUUGUUUGUGUUUAGAAGAACUAAAAAAUGUGUUUUUUGUUUUUGUUUUUUUGUUUUUUUUUUUAAGGCAGCCUAUUUACAACCGUUUCUCACAAACAUACUGAAUAUAGCUUCUGUCCCAGAAAAGGGGAGGAGGGUGAGGAAAGAGCAAAAUGUGCAAACAUGGUAUCAUAGAAGACUGGGGAAUUCGAGCUUUAAGGAAGAGGAAUAGAUGGAAAUUAGUCAACAUAGCUUUAAUACUAGAAUGCCUGUUAGUAAAAUAUAGAUGAUAGAUAGAUAGAUAGAUAGAUAGAUAGAUAGAUAGAUAGAUAAUCACCUAGAUAUUCUUAAGAUUUCCAAAAUAACCCAGUGUCUUAGGUGUUAGCUGCCAUGACUUAUUGGUCAUGUACUCUUUGCUCUUAUAUCUUUCCUGACACCCUGGCAUGGGAGACAUGCUGGGCAGCCAAGGGCUGGGGGGUUCCAUCCAACAUGUCAAUCUGAUCAAUGCAGAAUGAAAAUACCGUCUGGCCCGCAGUAUUUGGGAUCUGUGACAGGAUCACUAGAGAGUUGCAUUCACCAGUAAUUAGAUGAAGUGUUUCCAACUAGCUGCAUUCACCAGUAACUAGAUGAAGUGUUUCCAGAUAAUAUUUUGGUUAAGAUAUUCAAUUGCUGUUCAAGAAGUAAGGCCAGCACCAAAGCCCAUAACUGGGGUGAGGGGCAGGAAAUAUGGUGAAGAGCACUGUUUUCUAAAGGUCAUCCGUUGGAUUCCAGCCUCAUCUAGUUUGUGUUUGGUUUUCCUUUCUUUGAACCAUUGUUACUUUUAUGUAUGUAAUAGUUUUCUUUUAUGCAGUUUAUUUCUUUUACUUAAAUUUAUUUUUAAAUGCAAUUCUAUGUUGCUGUAUAAAUGGAAACACUAAUAUCACUUAUUAAUAGAAAGUAUCCCUAAAAAUAUACACAAUGAAGAUAAGAUGUGAUCAAAUUCCUGCUACAUACUGUUAUGAUUUGCUCAAGACUCUGAGUCCAAGGCUCUCCUUUCUUGGUUGAAAACAGAGAUUGGCCAAGUGUUAGAGAGGUAUUAAAGAGAUACUAACACCUAACUGAGUUGUUCUCCAUGUUGCAACAGAAGAUUGGAUGAAAAUUAUAACAGAGCGCUUUCUUACUGUGUGUGUCUGUGCAAUUAAACACCAUGACCGUGACCACCUAAGUCAUCACCCACACUUUGAAAAAUAGAGGCAUAAUGGGAGAACACAGACUAGGGAUGCAGAAUACUACUUUACAGCUCGGUAACUUUGGCAAGUGACUUACUCUUUUUGAUCUUCCAUCUCCUUAUUUAAUGAGAAGAAGAACAUCUUUAUAACUGUUAAAGUAACUGUAAGAAAGAAGGAAAUGAUAGAAUGUGUAAGCACCUAAUACAGUGGCUGGGCAUAGUAAGCAAUCAAGGGAUGGUUGAUUCAUUGACCUGUUUUCUCCCAGUUACUAAGACAAUGGAGCAAAAGCAGUCUUAUAAAAUGUGCAAGUGAUACUGCUACAACACCUCUGAAACAAGAACAGAAUAUUACAUUAUUAUACUUCAAUACUAGAAAAGUAGCCCCUUCCCCUCUUCAUCCCAAGAAAAUGUAUACAGUUCUAAGGAGGAAAAAGGGGGAAAACUAACAUAUAAGAGCACCAAUAUUGCCAGCUGCUCAACUGACAUCACCUGGAUAUACCAAAGGCACCAGAAUCUUGACAUGCUCCAAACCCAAAUCAUCUUUUACCUCUAAACGGGAUCCUCUCUCAUUCUUGUUAUUUCAAUGAACCAUAACACCAUGUAUCCCAUGAUGCAAACCAAAACCUCACAAAUAUUUUGGACUCUCCCCUGACCCUUAGCCUCGUGUGCAAUCCAGCAUGGAGUCUGGUCAAUUUCACCUUCAGUAUCUCUUCAAUCCAUCCACGUUUCUCCAUUAUCACCAACCUAGUCCAAGCUAGCAUCAUUGUGAUAGGUACUAGUGUACCGGUUAGAAAAUGGGUUCUGGAGUCAGACUGCCUGGUUUUGAAUCCUAAUACCAUAAUUUAUUAGCUGUGUGGCCUUAAGCAAGGUGCUUAACCACUCUAUACCUUGGUUUUCUCAUUUGUAUAGUAGAGAUGAGUACCGACCUCAUGGACAGGAGGACAGUUUAAAUAUGCAAAUUACUUAAAACAGUGCCUUGCAUAUAAUGAGCACUUAAUAGGGAUUAGUUGUUUUUGGUAUGGGGUUAGUUGUUUUUGGCUGUUAUUGUUUAACAUUUUACUAUGGAAAAUUUCAAACAGAGAGAGUAUAAUGUAAGUAACACCCACAUACCCAUUAUCCCCAAUCCAUAGAUUUUUAUAGUUUGCUUCUUUAAAUCAAGAUUGAAAUAAUGUCUAUAUAUUUCAACUGAUUCAUCAGUCUUAAACUCCUUUGAUCUAUGUAAUCCUGCUAUUUUUUUCCUUGUAAUUUUCUGUUGAAUAGUGGCAACAUUGUUCAGCAGAGUUUCACAAAGCAUAAAUUUUGCCGAUUGCAUCACCUGUUGUGUUAUUUAACAUGUUCUUCUAUCUUCUGAAUUUUCUGAGAGAACUAAAGUCUUGAUCAGAUGCAGAUUUGAUAUUUUUUACAUGUAUACUUCAUAGGUAAUAUUGUGAUCUUCCAUCAGAAGGCACCUAAAGACUAGUUAACCCUCAUUCUGUGAUUUUAGCAGCUAUUGAUGAUCAUUACCUAGAUCCAUUAUUUCACUAUGGAUUGAAAAAAUGAUAAUAUUCUAAUUUUGUUAUUAUUUAUUUGACAGCUAGAAGACUUCUGUUAGGAGAAGCGUUAUCCUGUCAGUUGAUUACCCUGAGUUAUUAUUAUUGCUGUUUGACAGAUGAAAAACUGACAUGGAGAAAAGUUAGACAAUUCCUCCAAAUCACAAAGAUAAUUUGUUCAACUGAGAGAGUGCUUAACUCAGGAGAUCAAUAAAGGUUCAUAGAGGAAGAAGUAUUUGAAAUUGUCCUGGAAGAACAAUAUUUUUCAACAGGCAGAGAUGGAGAAAGGACAAUCUACAUGAACAGAACAGCAUGAGCAAAAAGAACUGGUUAGAGACUAUCCAUAGGAUAAAUUUCUAGCAAAUUGCUGAGUCCAGGAUAUGCAUGUUUGCAAUUUUGGAAGAUCUUAAAAACUUGCCUCCUAUAGGUGUUGUACCAGUAUAUACUUCUGCCAGUAAUAGAUGGGUGGGCUGCUGAUGCCUCAAAAUGUAAGUAUUUUCAAACUUUUAAAUUUUAGCCCAUUUAACAUAAUUUAAAAAUUAUGUCUCUGUGUGAUUUUAGUUCCAUUUCCCUUAUUAUAUAUAAGACUGAACAUCUUGGCAUAUGUUUAAGGGCCAUCUGCAUUUCCUUUUCUGUGCACUGUCAGCUUAUAUGCUUUGCCCAUUUUUUCUAGUAGAUGGUUAGUGUUUUUCUUAUUGAUUUGUAUAUAUUCUGUAUUACUCCUUUAUCACAUUGCCACAAAGAAAUGCCUGAGAUGGUGUCAUUUAUAGAGAAAAGAGGUUUAAUUGGCUCACAGUUCCACAGGCUAUACAGGAAGCAUGGCUGAGGAGG
This 4521-nucleotide long non-coding RNA is filed under the name Homo sapiens (human). Its description in RNAcentral is "HSALNT0327259". The record is from RNAcentral. Lineage: Eukaryota; Metazoa; Chordata; Mammalia; Primates; Hominidae.